Molecule: ribosomal RNA, 487 nt
Filed under: uncultured bacterium
Lineage: Bacteria
Description: bacterial SSU rRNA
Rfam family: Bacterial small subunit ribosomal RNA
Source: RNAcentral
GAUGAACGCUGGCGGCGUGCUUAACACAUGCAAGUCGAACGAAGCACUUUGAUCGAUUUCUUCGGAUUGAAAUUUUAGUGACUGAGUGGCGGACGGGUGAGUAACGCGUGGGUAACCUGCCUCACACAGGGGGAUAACAGUUGGAAACGGCUGCUAAUACCGCAUAAGCGCACAGUACCGCAUGGUACAGUGUGAAAAACUCCGGUGGUGUGAGAUGGACCCGCGUCUGAUUAGCUAGUUGGCAGGGUAACGGCCUACCAAGGCGACGAUCAGUAGCCGACCUGAGAGGGUGACCGGCCACAUUGGGACUGAGACACGGCCCAAACUCCUACGGGAGCAGCAGUGGGAAUAUUGCACAAUGGGGGAAACCCUGGAUGCAGCGACGCCGCGUGAGCGAAGAGUAUUUCGGUAUGUAAAGCUCUAUCAGCAGGGAAGAAGAAUGACGGUACCUGACUAAGAAGCACCGGCUAAAUACGUGCCAGCAGCC